GCAAGUCGUAACGAGGUAAGCUUGCUUCUAUGACGUUAGCGGCGGACGGGUGAGUAACACGUGGGCAACCUGCCUGUAAGACUGGGAUAACUCCGGGAAACCGGAGCUAAUACCGGAUAACAUUUUCUCUUGCAUAAGAGAAAAUUGAAAGAUGGUUUCGGCUAUCACUUACAGAUGGGCCCGCGGUGCAUUAGCUAGUUGGUGAGGUAACGGCUCACCAAGGCAACGAUGCAUAGCCGACCUGAGAGGGUGAUCGGCCACACUGGGACUGAGACACGGCCCAGACUCCUACGGGAGGCAGCAGUAGGGAAUCUUCCGCAAUGGACGAAAGUCUGACGGAGCAACGCCGCGUGAGUGAUGAAGGCUUUCGGGUCGUAAAACUCUGUUGUUAGGGAAGAACAAGUACAAGAGUAACUGCUUGUACCUUGACGGUACCUAACCAGAAAGCCACGGCUAACUACGUGCCAGCAGCCGCGGUAAUACGUAGGUGGCAAGCGUUAUCCGGAAUUAUUGGGCGUAAAGCGCGCGCAGGCGGUUUCUUAAGUCUGAUGUGAAAGCCCACGGCUCAACCGUGGAAGGUCAUUGGAAACUGGGGAACUUGAGUGCAGAAGAGAAAAGCGGAAUUCCCCGUGUAGCGGUGAAAUGCGUAGAGAUGUGGAGGAACACCGGUGGCGAAAGCGGCUUUUUGGUCUGUAACUGACGCUGAAGCGCGAAAGCGUGGGGAGCAACCAGGAUUAGAUACCCUGGUAGUCCACGCCGUAAACGAUGAGUGCUAAGUGUUAGAGGGUUUCCGCCCUUUAGUGCU
This 805-nucleotide ribosomal RNA is filed under the name Priestia flexa. RNAcentral describes it as "bacterial SSU rRNA". It matches the Rfam family "Bacterial small subunit ribosomal RNA", at positions 57 to 847 of the family's 1533-position model. Lineage: Bacteria; Bacillati; Bacillota; Bacilli; Caryophanales; Bacillaceae. The record is from RNAcentral.